This 463-nucleotide ribosomal RNA is filed under the name uncultured bacterium. RNAcentral's name for it is "bacterial SSU rRNA". It matches the Rfam family "Bacterial small subunit ribosomal RNA", at positions 28 to 507 of the family's 1533-position model. The record is from RNAcentral.
GACGAACGCUGGCGGCGUGCCUAAUACAUGCAAGUCGAACGCUCUCGACCUUCGGGUCACAUGAGAGAGUGGCGAACGGGUGCGUAACACGUGAGAAACCUGCCCUAGAGACGGGAAUAACUCGAGGAAACUCGUGCUAAUGCCCGAUGCCCUCUUUGGACCGCAUGGUCCGCUGAGGAAAGGCUCCGGCGCUCUAGGAGGGUCUCGCGGCCUAUCAGCUUGUUGGUGAGGUAACGGCUCACCAAGGCAUCGACGGGUAGCUGGUCUGAGAGGACGAUCAGCCACACUGGGACUGAGACACGGCCCAGACUCCUACGGGAGGCAGCAGUAGGGAAUCUUGCGCAAUGGGCGAAAGCCUGACGCAGCAACGCCGCGUGGGGGAUGAAGGCCUUCGGGUCGUAAACCCCCUUUCAGCAGGGACGAAAUGACGGUACCUGCAGAAGAAGGUCCGGCCAACUACGUG